RNAcentral lists this small RNA (135 nucleotides) under Sinorhizobium meliloti 2011. RNAcentral's name for it is "putative ncRNA". The record is from RNAcentral. Lineage: Bacteria; Pseudomonadati; Pseudomonadota; Alphaproteobacteria; Hyphomicrobiales; Rhizobiaceae.
GCAAGGCCUGCGUUUUGUUUCACACGAAAUUGAAAUCUGCACGUGUGCGAGCGCUUUACUGAACGAGAACGGGCCGUUGGCAUUUGACGCCGGUGACGCGCACGUCGGCCUCGCCGACGCGCACGCCGACCAGGA